Molecule: non-coding RNA, 129 nt
Organism: Nicotiana sylvestris (wood tobacco)
Lineage: Eukaryota; Viridiplantae; Streptophyta; Magnoliopsida; Solanales; Solanaceae
Source: Rfam
AAGAGAAGAGCAUGUUAAGAUAGCCAAGGAAAUUGCCUGAAACCAAGUAAAAAUGGUGUAAUCAAACACCUUUUAACAUAAUGGAGCAGACAAGUCAUCCUUGGCUACCAAACAAUAUAACUCUCCUCU